UACGUAGGGGGCAAGCGUUGUUCGGAUUUACUGGGCGUAAAGCGCACGUAGGCGGAUCUUUAAGUCAGAGGUGAAAUCCCAAGGCUCAACCUUGGAACUGCCUUUGAUACUGGGGAUCUUGAGUCCGGGAGAGGUGAGUGGAACUGCGAGUGUAGAGGUGAAAUUCGUAGAUAUUCGCAAGAACACCAGUGGCGAAGGCGGCUCACUGGCCCGGUACUGACGCUGAGGUGCGAAAGCGUGGGGAGCAAACAGG
This 253-nucleotide ribosomal RNA is filed under the name uncultured bacterium. Its description in RNAcentral is "partial 16S ribosomal RNA". It matches the Rfam family "Bacterial small subunit ribosomal RNA", at positions 524 to 776 of the family's 1533-position model. The record is from RNAcentral.